Molecule: long non-coding RNA, 398 nt
Filed under: Equus caballus (horse)
Lineage: Eukaryota; Metazoa; Chordata; Mammalia; Perissodactyla; Equidae
Description: lncRNA (ENSECAG00000058178.1)
Source: RNAcentral
CAAGACUUUGCCUGCUGUGAUAAGGAAUUUCCAGUACAUGAGAGUGCACUCACUUCCUUGUCCUCUAGGACAAUACUAAGAUUUGUUUCCCAACAAAAUAUGCCACUUACAUUCAGAAUAUUGCAGAAGAAGUCAUGCAGAGAAUGAGUUUUGGAGAUAUUCAAUCCUAGAAUCCAGCAUGGUCUCAUUCUUUCACCAGGCUUCGAGGGGAGAGGGACCAACAAGAAUGUAGUUCUGGAGUGAUGGCCAGAUUUGGGCAUGGAGAUACAAGAAGUCUGGAAUGGGGUGCUGAGACACACUGGUAACCGGUUCUGAUAAUGUUUUCAAUCCUAAAUAUGCAAUCAUAUAAAAACAAAGCAAUCCAAUAAAAGUGUUUGGGUAGCAGUAGCUGAGCCUUG